GCUAAAAACCUAGCUCAAAUUUACGCAAAUGCCACAACCAAACAACUGUAACUAAACAAAACAUUUUUAAAUUUUUAGUAAAGGCGAUUGAAAAAUAUCUAGAAGCUAUAACAAUAGUACCGCAAGGGAAAAGUGAAAUAAAAGUGAAAUAACUUUAAAGCAAGACUAAGCAGAGAUUUAACCUCGUACCUUUUGCAUCAUGGUCUAGCUAGUUCAACCAAGCAAAACGCAAUUGUAGUUUGACACCCCGAAACUAGGUGAGCUACUUCAAAACAGCCUUUAAGGGCCAACCCGUCUCUGUUGCAAAAGAGUGGGAAGAUUUUCAAGUAGAGGUGACAGACCUACCGAACCUAGAGAUAGCUGGUUAUUCAGGAAAAGGAUUUAAGUCCUACCUUAAGUUUUUUUAUACUAUAAAAUAUAACAAUAAACUUAAGAGCUAUUCAAAUAAGGUACAGCCUAUUUGAAACAGGAAACAACCUUAAACACAGGGUAAUGAUAUCCUAAACGUGACCAAGUGGGCCUAAAAGCAGCCAACUUUUAAACAGCGUUAAAGCUUCAUCACUUUAUUUAACUAAUAACAUUAACAUUACAAAACCCUUCACCACUACUGAAUGACUCCAUAACCAUAUGGAGAACACUAUGCUAGAACUAGUAACAAGAAGAAGACCUCCUCCAAAAUGUAAGUGUAAGCCAAAAUGAACAACUCACUGGCACUUAUCGUCUCUGAACUUAAAGUAGUAACUUCACAAGAAAAUUCUACUCCCCAUAAACGUUAACCUUACACCAGAACAUUACCGGAAAGAUUAAAAAAAGAGGAAGGAACUCGGCAAAUUUUAACCCCGCCUGUUUACCAAAAACAUCG
This 862-nucleotide ribosomal RNA is filed under the name Scaphiophryne menabensis. Its description in RNAcentral is "partial large subunit ribosomal RNA". The stretch from base 173 to 647 matches the Rfam family "Bacterial large subunit ribosomal RNA", at positions 573 to 1301 of the family's 2925-position model. The record is from RNAcentral. Lineage: Eukaryota; Metazoa; Chordata; Amphibia; Anura; Microhylidae.